Molecule: long non-coding RNA, 1633 nt
Organism: Clupea harengus (Atlantic herring)
Lineage: Eukaryota; Metazoa; Chordata; Actinopteri; Clupeiformes; Clupeidae
Source: Ensembl
CAGAAAUCACUUUGUAAUAAGCAGUAAUGUUACCUGCAAUUUAUCUGUACGUUAUUUGCGUAACUAGUUUAUUACUAUAAGGUCACGUGUCCAACACACACACACACACACAGAGAGACUCAUGGAGAGGUAAUAAGGAAGUAUAAGGAUGUCAAUGGCCAGGCCAAAGGUUGAAAAAAAAGAGAAGUAGCAAUACCCGUGCUUAUUAUUCACCAUGACCUGACAGCAGGGCGUGAGAGAGAGACAGAGACAGACGGACGGAGGGCACUCAACACAGGAGACCCUGUUUAAGUUUAAAUAAUUGAAGAAUCAUUAUUUUAGUGUUAAAAUUACAUCUGAGAAAUAGACGAAAGAGGGUAAGCUGAACCAGAGCUGAAGCGGCCUUAACCAUGAGAGCUACUCUGUGGUUGGUCUGUCUGUGUACAGCUCGUGUGUGGUGUCAAUCCACCUCCAGUCCUGCUAUUACACCAACAAGCGCACCAACUAUAAAUCCAACCACAAUAACUACUGCUGCACCAACUACUACACCAAGACCUCCUCCUCCUGAUGUUACCGAGGUAAUUGUGAAAACCCGCAAUGAGACUCACAUAGAGCUAGAGUGGACCAAAGUCAACAACAUCAACACUUACAUACUGAAACCGAGCGGUGGAACAGAAACCCCCAUCACUGGAUCAGAUGGGAACACAGUGACACACACAGUGUCAUCUCUCUCUGCUGGAACUAAAUACUUGUUCACUCUCUUCACGGUGUUUGAGGGAGUGAAAAGCACAGGAUUUGAGUUCUCAGCAGUUACAGCUCCCUCUAAUGUUGCCCUGGUGAUUGUGAAAACCCGCAAUGAGACUCACAUAGAGCUAGAGUGGACCAAAGUCGACAACAUCAACACUUACAUACUGAAAUCGAGCGAUGAAACAGAAACCCCCAUCACUGGAUCAGAUGGGAGCACAGCAGUGACACACAUAGUGUCAUCUCUCUCUGCUGGAACAAGCAACUCGUUCACUCUCUUCACAGUGUUUGAGGAAGUGAGAAGCGCAGGAUAUGACUUCUCAGCAGUUACAGGUAUGUCUCUUUUUUUGAUUGCGAAAUUUCAAGGAAGUUGCUUUUUUUCUCUGCAACACUUGAAAACCUGUGUCAGCUAGCUCAUAAUAAAUUACACUGUGUGAUGUAUAUCUAGCAUGUCGCCAACAACAUUGUAUUAGAUUACUCAUACUCUACAUUCAAACGCUUGGAAAACAAUGUAUAUGGGCUGAAAACGCGAGCAGUAUUUCAGCUAAAUAAAAAUGUGUCUUUUUUCUUAUCCUUUGGUUAUGUUAGCGUUCAUCUCCGAUGUCACAAUAAAUUAAACUAUUUUUAGAAUAGUCAUAUUUGUGUAAAUAAAACAGAGCUCACUAGAAAAAAUACCAAUUCUUCUGGAAUGGGGCUUUAAAGCACUAAAAGUAUUUAAGAAAUGCAAAUAUACUGCAGACAUAUACUACAUGCAUUUUCUAGCACAGUUUAAAUACACUGAAGAGCACCUUUUUUCAACCUGGGCAAUAUUUAUUUUAUUUGUAUUCCAGAUUCCUCUUGCAGUCUGCAUUCUAAAUGUAUAUCUCUCUUUUCCUAUGACCUUCCAUCUGUCUGUGUUUCUGUCUUGUCC